GAUGAACGCUGGCGGCGUGCCUAAUACAUGCAAGUCGAGCGGCAGCACGGUCUUCGGACUGGUGGCGAGCGGCGGACGGCUGAGUAACGCGUAGGAACAUGCCCUAAAGUGAGGAAUAACUGCCCGAAAGGGUGGCUAAUGCCGCAUGUGCUCUUCGGAGUAAAGCUUUAUGCGCUUUAGGAGUGGCCUGCGUCCGAUUAGCUAGUUGGUGAGGUAAAUGCUCACCAAGGCGACGAUCGGUAGCUGGUCUGAGAGGAUGAUCAGCCAGACUGGAACUGAGAACGGUCCAGACUCCUACGGGAGGCAGCAGUAGGGAAUUUUCCACAAUGGGCGAGAGCCUGAUGGAGCAACGCCGCGUGCAGGAUGAAUGCCUUCGGGUUGUAAACUGCUUUUAUGUGCGAAGAAUUUGACUGUAACACAUGAAUAAGGAUCGGCUAACUACGUGCCAGCAGCCGCAGAAC
Molecule: ribosomal RNA, 461 nt
Filed under: uncultured bacterium
Lineage: Bacteria
Description: partial 16S ribosomal RNA
Rfam family: Bacterial small subunit ribosomal RNA
Source: RNAcentral